UACAGAGGGGGCAAGCGUUGUUCGGAAUUACUGGGCGUAAAGGGCGCGUAGGCGGCCUGCUAAGUCGAACGUGAAAUCCCUGGGCUCAACCCAGGAACUGCGUCCGAUACUGGUUGGCUUGAAUCCGGGAGAGGGAUGUGGAAUUCCAGGUGUAGCGGUGAAAUGCGUAGAUAUCUGGAGGAACACCGGUGGCGAAGGCGGCUCUCUGGACCACAACUGACGCUGAGACACGAAAGCCAGGGGAGCGAACGGG
This 253-nucleotide ribosomal RNA is filed under the name uncultured bacterium. Its description in RNAcentral is "partial 16S ribosomal RNA". It matches the Rfam family "Bacterial small subunit ribosomal RNA", at positions 524 to 776 of the family's 1533-position model. The record is from RNAcentral.